AGUGGCGAACGGGUGAGUAUACAUCGGAACGUGCCCAAUCGUGGGGGAUAACGCAGCGAAAGCUGUGCUAGGACCGCAUACGAUCUACGGAUGAAAGCAGGGGACCGAAAGGCCUUCCGCGAAUGGAGCGGCCGAUG
This 137-nucleotide ribosomal RNA is filed under the name uncultured Variovorax sp. RNAcentral's name for it is "partial 16S ribosomal RNA". It matches the Rfam family "Bacterial small subunit ribosomal RNA", at positions 94 to 235 of the family's 1533-position model. Lineage: Bacteria; Pseudomonadati; Pseudomonadota; Betaproteobacteria; Burkholderiales; Comamonadaceae. The record is from RNAcentral.